RNAcentral lists this long non-coding RNA (270 nucleotides) under Mytilus galloprovincialis (Mediterranean mussel). The record is from RNAcentral. Lineage: Eukaryota; Metazoa; Mollusca; Bivalvia; Mytilida; Mytilidae.
UUUUUUCAAUUACUGCCUUGAUUUAUGUCCGGUCUCUUUGAUGAGAUGAAAUUCACGAAACUGUAUAUCACUGAACUAUCUUUUUUCCGAAAUGUUUCCUAAUGUAAUAAACGGGGGAUUAUAUCUGAUUAUAUAGCAGCCAACCUUUCACUUGUAUGAUAGCUGCAUGUAAAGGAUGAUUUUUUAAACGCAAGUCAUAACUUUCUUUUCAAGCAAAGAUAAGGUAUAUUGCAUACACGGCAAUUGAAUCAUUACAAGAACAAUAUUGUU